Molecule: RNA transcript, 2735 nt
Organism: Oncorhynchus keta (chum salmon)
Lineage: Eukaryota; Metazoa; Chordata; Actinopteri; Salmoniformes; Salmonidae
Gene name: SEC14-like protein 1
Exons: 17
Source: RefSeq, a predicted model, not a curated record
UGACGUAGUCAAAAGAGGCGGCGUUAGCUACGCCGGCGGCUUGCCUUGGAUUCAACAUCAAACCCGUCUCAAAGUCGCUUUAGUUACGUAUUUUUUGGAGUGUACCAUGGAUUUAAUAUAAGUAGCUCGUAUACUGACACUUCACUUGACUUAUCUCCGAAAGUCAUCGAUCUGGCAGAGCGCCAGAGAUUGAGCUACAGCCAUGGUGCAACAAUACCAGUCACCUGUAAGGGUCUACAAACACCCCUUUGAGCUGAUAAUGGCGGCCUAUGUGCGGAGGUUUCCAAACUGCCCCCUGAUCCCCAUCUUUGUGGACAGUGAGGUGGUGAAGGAGGAGCACAGUGAUGACGGAGCCACUGUGUUCAUUGAGAGGCGCUGUAAGGUGGAGGCAGACGCCCCUCGGCUGUUCAAAAGGAUGGCUGGUGUGGACUACCUGUACUUCAUCCAUAAGAACACUCUGGACCGCAGGGAGAGGGCGCUGCACAUAGAGGUCGUCAACGAGACCUUCUCCAACAGAGUCAUCGUCCAUGAGAUCUGCAACUACACGGUUCACCCAGAGAAUGAGGAGUGGACGUGUUUCGAGCAGACAGCCAGUCUGGACAUCAAGUCCUUCUUUGGCUUUGAGAACGCAGCUGAGAAGCUAGCCAUGAAGCAAUAUGCCAACAGUAUUAAAAAGGGCAAAGAGAUCAUAGAGUAUUACCUGAAGGAGUUGGAGGAUGAGGGGGUGACCCACGUCCCCCGCUGGAGCCCCCCUCAGGCCCCCCCACCCACUGCCAGGCUCCAGCUGCCACUCACCCGUGCCCCUUCCAAUGCCAUCCCUGUGCCCAUUGCCAAAGAGACCCCCACUGCCAGCCCCACAGAUCUACCGGCUGGCUCCCCAGAUGACAAGUUGGAUGCAGACUACAUCAGGCGUUACCUAGGAGACCUGACGCCGCUGCAGGAGAGCUGUCUUAUAAGACUACGCCAGUGGCUGCAGGAGACCCACAAGGGCAAGAUCCCUAAGGACCAGCACGUGCUGCGUUUCCUGCGGGCCCGGGACUUUAACCUGGAGAAGGCCCGGGAGAUCCUGUGUCAGUCGCUCUCCUGGAGGAAGCAGCACCAGGUGGACUUCCUGCUGGACUCCUGGGAGAGACCCCAGCUGCUACACGACUACUACACCGGGGGCUGGCACCACCACGACAAAGAUGGAUGCCCUCUGUAUAUUCUGCGACUCGGUCAAAUGGAUACCAAGGGUUUAUUUAGUACGCGCCUUGGGCGAGGAGUCCCUUCUGAGACAAGUCCUCUCAAUCAACGAGGAAGGGCUGAGGCGUUGUGAAGAGAACACCAGAGUCUUUGGCCGACCCAUCAGCUGCUGGACGUGCCUGGUGGACCUGGAGGGGUUAAACAUGCGUCACCUGUGGCGUCCGGGGGUUAAAGCCCUGCUGAGGAUCAUAGAGGUGGUGGAGGCCAACUACCCAGAGACCCUGGGAUGUCUGCUCAUACUGAGGGCUCCACGGGUCUUCCCUGUGCUCUGGACCCUGGUCAGUCCAUUCAUUGACGAGAACACCAGGAAGAAGUUCCUGGUGUAUGCUGCGAAUGACUACCAGGGGCCUGGAGGUCUGGUGGACUACAUCGAUAGAGAGGUCAUCCCUGACUUCCUGGGAGGAGACUGCCUGUGUGAGAUCCCUGAAGGAGGUAUGGUCCCCAAAUCUCUGUACAGGACAGCAGAGGUGCUGGAAAGUGAGGAGCUGCGGCUGUGGACAGAUACCAUCUACAAGACUGCCAGUGUCUUCAAAGGGGCCCCACAUGAGCUGCUGAUCGAAAUCUCCGAGUCCUCUUCUGUGAUCACCUGGGACUUUGACGUGUGUAAAGGGGACGUCAUCUUCAACAUCUACCACUCCCGGAGGGCGCCCCAGCCCCCCAAGAGGGACGUCCAGGGGGCCCACGGCAGCAUCGUAUCGCCAGCCACCAACAACAUGCAGCUGAUUGACAGAUCCUGGAUUCUGGGGCAAGACUACAGUAUGGUGGAGACAGCACUCACCUGCAAGGAGGGAGAGAGUGUUCAGGGCUCCCAUGUGACGCGGUGGCCCGGGUUCUACAUCCUCCAAUGGCGGUUCCACUGCUCCCCGGCCUGCUCUACCUCCAGCCUGCCCCGGGUGGAUGACGUGCUGGCCUCCCUGCAGGUCUCCUCCCACAAGUGUAAGGUCAUGUUCUACACCGAGGUGCUGGGCUCCGAAGACUUCAGGGGCUCUAUGACCAGUCUGGAAUCCAGUCACAGUGGCUUCUCCCAGCUGAGUGCCACCACCACCACCUCUAGCCAAUCACAGUCCAGCUCCACCGUAUCAAGAAAAUCCAGUGCUGUACCAACACCUGCCAAUGAGGACUUAACCUUACCCAGGGGGAUGAGAGAAGUGUUAUGAACUGUAUGGAACAAGGAUCGCCUAUCCUUAAUGCCAUGUGGUGGAACACUGGAGUUCCUAGUACUUGCAUUUAAAGAACUGGAAUAUAUUAUUAAAAUAUACAUGUACAUUUUUUAAUCUGUAUCUAUAAUUAGUGACAUUAAGAUUGCUCUGGAAGUAUAACAUCUGCUAUAUGAGCAUCUGCUGAAUGAAUAAAUGCAUAUGGAGAUGUCUUGCAAACCAUCAUCAUCCUCUUCUUUCUUUCAAUACCAUUAUUCUUUCUUAUUUUAAGGGAAGUGACAGAAAUGUUUCCCAUUUUAUUGAAACUGAACAAUAAAGCACUUCCUAUUUUCAGCA